Long non-coding RNA from Silurus meridionalis, 305 nucleotides. RefSeq lists it as uncharacterized. The transcript has 3 exons. The record is from RefSeq and is a predicted model, not a curated record. Lineage: Eukaryota; Metazoa; Chordata; Actinopteri; Siluriformes; Siluridae.
CCCUGCCAGCGUGGCGUUGGUGGUAUAGUGGAGGUGGGUGCAGGAAAUGAGAGGAUGUGUUCCUUACAAAAUCACGAAUUUGGAGAUAUCGGAAAAAAUGAGUUUUAUGGAGGUUGAAUUUUUCUGACAGAUUUUAAGGCUUUGUAGAACUAAAGGAUUGGAGGAGUAAUCGGAUGUCUUCAACGCUAAUGAAGAGCAUAAUAAAGCAUGCAGAGGCACAUGAGGACGGACGAGGUCAGACAGGAGUCUCUCCGUGGACUAUGAUGUUUGCCGACGGUAUUGUGAUUCGUGGUGAGAGUAGGGAG